Hyla sarda is the source of this 953-nucleotide long non-coding RNA. RefSeq lists it as uncharacterized. NCBI's taxonomy places the organism in Eukaryota, Metazoa, Chordata, Amphibia, Anura, Hylidae. The record is from RefSeq and is a predicted model, not a curated record. The transcript has 3 exons.
GGUGACUGUAGGUGUCUAUGUGGAUAAGAAGAUGUAUGGACACCGACAAUAACAGGACAAAAUACACUAAAUAGAAUGAGGAUCUACUGACAAAGUGAGAACCUAUGAUGUCCGGGCGUCAGACUCUGCAGAGAAAAUGGAGCUGGAAGACGUCCUGACGUCUGGACCAGAUGAAGAAGAAAAGAAAAGACAACAGAGAAGACGUCACUCAGGUCAGCCCACAGCUUUGUUCAGUUGUACUGUGCCUGGAAAAAAGGCUGGCUGGGAUUUGUAGUGGACGAUGAGGCUUCUGCAGGAAUGGACGGGAGGCCCCUGAGAUGAACCCACAGAUGAAGGCUGUCUCCUAUUGGCCUGUGGGCACCAAAACGCCAUGUGUUCUUCAUCCCUCAUGUUGUUAUCACACACAUUACCCAGGACACGCAAGCUGAACCUAGAAGUGUUCAGAAAUUCUGCGAGUCACUGCAACCAUGAAAUUGGGGUUAAAUCUGGGUUCGCGGGGCUCGGCUCCCUCAUCCCUAGUGGUGAGUUACUGUAUUACUUCUAUUACUUGGGAUAAUUGUCUAUAAAUGUUCCCCAACACCUAUAGGACUUUUUAUAAUGUGUAAAGUUCUUCCAUCAGAAUAAUGUCCUAGAAGCCAGAAGAUAGAAGUGAUUUUGUGUCUCUAAUCUGGUCAUGUCCUGGAAUUCUUCAUCACUGGAAUAAGUCCCUUCUCUCUGAGGUGUUUGGGUCUCCAGUAGCAGCUCCCCAUGGAGUAUGCCUGUUGGGUCUUCUCCAUGAGGAGCAGUGAAUAUCACAACCAUAUAUCACACUCUUUUCCUACCAUGUAAACUAUAGUGAUGACAUCGCUGGAUCGGUGACUACGUUCUAAAAGAAAACUUUUAUUAACAAUUGGGAACAAGUUUGGAGAUGCAGUAUAUGAUAUAUGUAUAAAUGUCAGAUAUCCUAUGUACAU